Molecule: small nuclear RNA, 107 nt
Organism: Cervus hanglu yarkandensis (Yarkand deer)
Lineage: Eukaryota; Metazoa; Chordata; Mammalia; Artiodactyla; Cervidae
Source: Ensembl
GUGCUCACUUCAGCAUCACAUAUACUAAAACUGGAACGACACAGAGAAGAUCAGCAUGUCCCCUGCACAAAGAUGACAUGCAAAUUUGUGAAGCAUUCCAUAUUUUU